Long non-coding RNA from Balaenoptera ricei (Rice's whale), 1851 nucleotides. RefSeq lists it as uncharacterized. The record is from RefSeq and is a predicted model, not a curated record. Lineage: Eukaryota; Metazoa; Chordata; Mammalia; Artiodactyla; Balaenopteridae. The transcript has 7 exons.
GAGCUCAAAUUCCUGUUUAUAUAUGAGUGUUUUCAUACACAGCACAUCGUAUGCUAACUGGAGAAACAGCAGUUGGACUAAAAAGUCUCUGAGGCACCUGUCUGAGGAACUGCAGUAGAAACUGGUACAUAGCAUCGGGUGGAGUUUCCUGAUUGUGGCAGGAGUGGCCAAGGCCUGAUGGGUCCUCUCUGCAGUGGUUGGGAGUCAGUCCUCCAGGCCCACUUGGAGCCUCCUCUGCUGCCUUGCCCAGAUUGGCCCUCAACGGGGGACUGAGCUUUGAUCACUGAAUGGGAGUAGACCUUCUGAUUGAGCUAUAUUUGAAGACUCAAGGUGAGGUAGGUGUUAUCUCCCCCUUUGGCAGAUGAGGAACCUAACUGGAAAUUUAAAUGAUUUGCCCAAAGUCACAUAGGACUAGUGUCCUUAUGAGAAGAGGAGGAGAUUAUAGGGAUACACGUGCACAGAGGAAAGGCCACGUGAGAACACAGCAAGAAGGCAGCCAUCUGUAAGUCAAGCAGAGAGGCCUCAGGAGAAAUCAACUCUGCCACCCCCUUGAUCCUGGACUUGCAGCCUGCAGAACUUACACAGACUGAUGCCAUGAAAGCAGCUGCCAACAAAUCAGAAAGAAAGGAUUUGGAGCAUUUCUGUAUCUUUUUUUUUUUUUUUCAGAAAGAGGCCAGAACAUGCCAUAUUGUAAAUAUUAGCCAAAAAUAUAUGCUAAUGAGAAAAAUUCAACAAUCCUCAUGGGAAGCCAGUCGUUUCUUCUUUCUCCUUGCUUCCACUUCUUUCCCAUUUCCCUGUGGCCUGCUGGGAAUGAGUGUAUCAAAGAGCUUACACUUCUGUUGGAGUAUGACUGGGCCUAUAUGGUCUAAAGUCUAGUGUGCAUGUAGAGAGGCAGCUUCCUGGUUCAGUGACCGUUCUGUAAAAUAGGAUUUUCCUGUACAUGGCCUCUUGCUGUAAAUCUGAGUUGCAGAUUUACGGCAAGAUAUUCCCUCUGUCCUGGAAGAUCCAGGUAGGGCCUGGGGUGCCUGGCAUCCUGGUUCAGUAGCCUCUUGCUAUAAGCAACGUUGAAAUGAUGCAUAGAUAAUGACCCCCAAACACUGGGUUGCCAGAAAGGCCAAGUGAUACCUUCAGCUAUCUGACAAUCUGAAUAGUCUUUCUCAACUCAACAGCAAAAAUACAAACAGCCCAAUCGAAAAAUGGGCAGAAGAUCUUGAAAGACAUUUCUCCAAGGAAGACAUACAGAUGGCCAGUAGGCACAUGAAAAGAUGCUCAACAUCACUAAUUAUUAGAGAAAUGCAAAUCAAAACUACAGUGAGGUACCACCUCACACCAGUCAGAAUGGCCAUCAUUAAAAAUUCUGCGAAUAACAAAUGCUGGAGAGGGUGUGGAGAAAAGGGAACACUCCUAUACUGUCGGUGGGGAUGUAAAUUGGUGCAGCCACUAUGGAGAACAGUAUGGAGGCUCCUUAAAAAACUAAAACUAGAACUACCAUAUGAUCCAGCAAUCCCAUUCCUGGGCAUAUAUCUGGAGAAAACCACACUUCGAAAGGAUGCAUGCACCCCGAUGUUCAUUGCAGCACUAUUCAAGAUAGCCAAAACAUGGAAGCAACUGAAAUGUCCAUCGACCGAGGAAUGGAUAAAGAAGAUGUGGUACAUAUAUACAAUGGAAUACUACUCAGCCAUAAAAAAGAAAAUAAGGCCAUUUGCAGCAACAUGGAUGCAACUAGAGAUGAUCAUCCUACCUGAAUAACUCAGAAAGAGAAAGACAAAUACCAGAUGAUAUCACUUAUAUAUGGAAUCUAAAAUAUGGCACAAAUGAACCUAUCUAAAACACAGAAACAGAUUCAUGGAC